Alexandromys fortis (reed vole) is the source of this 3081-nucleotide long non-coding RNA. RefSeq lists it as uncharacterized. The record is from RefSeq and is a predicted model, not a curated record. The transcript has 4 exons. Lineage: Eukaryota; Metazoa; Chordata; Mammalia; Rodentia; Cricetidae.
GCCAGCUUGACCUGGGAUAUCUGGGUUUAUGGGGAUGCUGUGCCCAGCCCCCUUCACUAUUUGGUCCUUUAAUUGUAGAGGGUGAGGAAGAGGCUACAGGUGGCGACCUGGGAUUGUGCUAGCUUGAGGUUACCUGCAAACAAACCGAUUCUCAUGCUUACAGAAAAGCUGCAGGGAUUACAGAGUGCUCUUCCUAAAGUUAACACAACUAUGGCAUGUUGAUAAAAAACCACGAACACAGAUCCAGCACAACGCUGUUAACUAGGCUGUAACCAAAGCUUGUGUCACGCUGCAAAAACCCAACCAGGACACUACUCAUGAAGACAACAUUUUUUUCUUAGCAUACGGUUUGGUACCCUGUUGUGUGACUUGUCCAGGCACCAGCCCUGUGACAGACCGAAGAAACAUCCCGCGCGAGUGGAACUAGGCAUGGCUGCUAGAGUCGGGCUGUGUCCCCCGUAUUCAUGGUGAGGGUGCUAACCUCCAGUGCGUCAGACUGUGAACUCAGUUGGACAUCGGGCGGUUGCAGACACAGCUGGUUGUUAAGAUGUGGUCACCCUGGAGCGGGUUGGGCUCCAGUCUCACGUGAUUGCUGUCCUUAUCCAAAGACGCCACACGCACACAAACAUUGAAAUUACCAAGAGAAGACUGCCAGCCGCAGAAGAACAAGUCCUGGACAAUUCCAGUUAAGUGGGACCUAGAAGAGCCAAAUGACAGAAAAUAACAGUGGUUACCAGGGACUGGGGACUCCAUGGGGCACAGGGAGCCAAGGUUCCGUGGACAGAUACGGGGUUCCAGGUUGGCAUGACUGAAAAUUCUGGAGCUGGAUAGCGAAACUUAAUGCCGCUGUGCUGUGUAGUUAAAAGAUGGUUUAAAUGGUUUCAUUCAUUCAUUCAUUCAUUCAUUCAAGACAGGGAUUCUCCUCCUGGAAUUCACUCUGUAAACCAGGCUGGCCUCAAAGUCACAGAGGUCUGCCUGCCCUCUGCCUCCCAAGUGCUGGGAUUAAAGGAGUGCGCCACCACUGCCAAGCUUAUAAUGAUUUUUAAAAACUACUUUUAUUUUACUCCUCCUUCUUCUUUCCCCUUCUUCUCUUUAAGGGAGAAAAGGUUUACAUGGUUGUGGCCCCCCAUGGCAGGGUGGAACGGUGGCAGGAGCUGGAGCAGUGUUGCCACACCGCGCCACACACUGGGAGCAGAGGGAGGCUCAGACACCACUCUCCUUUUAUGUUACCUUGUUUUUGAGAUGGUCUCAGAAUGCAGCCCUAGCUGGGCCUGAGCAUAGGACCCUCUCACCCCAGCUUCCACUGCACCCUGAGCCGCUACGUAUGCUUUAUAAAGUUCAUAAACGUACUUAUGUGGAAAUAAGGACGCAGUGUAGUCUGGAGAUGAUUGCAAACUUAGAGACUAUUUGUUGACAAGACAGCUCAGAUUGUCUGCAGAGAAUCAGGAACCAGGAAAGACGAGCCUGGCUCCAUCCCCAUCACAGGCCACAGGAGGGUUCAACACUUCCUACACCACCCUCUGCCCAUGCCACUCUCUGCCCACGCCACCCUCUGCCCACACCACCCUCUGUCUAUGCCACUGUCUGCCUGUACCACCCUCUGCCCACGCCACCCUCUGCCCAUGCCACCCUCUGCCCACGCCACCCUCUGCCCACAUCACCCUCUGCCCAUGCCACCCUCUGCCCAGCCCAUACCACCCUCUGCCUGUGCCACCUUCUGCCCACACUACUCUGCCCACACUCUGAUCUCUGACUUUGGCUCCAGAAUCACAAGACUGCACAAUUUUCUUUAAACAACCCAGUCUGUGGUGCCUUGCUACCAUAGCCCCAGAAGGACACAACACCUCUCUGUGGUUGGAAUCCAUCUCCAGGCCCCUCCCUGGCUUCUGGAGCAGCAAGGAAGAGCUGGCUUCCAAUGGUCCCCUCUGCGGCUCGCCUUCCAUCCCCCUAUUGGUUCUUUGCUCCUCCAGCCUCCUUUGCCUUCUCACUUCCCCGCUGUCCGGUCACACUGGAGAGGACUCGGUCCACGGUCACACUGGAGAGGACUCGGUCCACAGUCACACUGGAGAGGACUCGGUCCACAGGAAGAAGUGAUCUUUGAAGCUCGUUCAAUAUUCUAUCCUCAGGCCUGGUUGCCCCCCCCCCAUACAAAUUUGUAAAUGAAUGAUUGUGUGCGGGAGGGAGGGCUGAGUCACUUCCCCGAUUCCUAUCAGAGUUGCUCUGAGAGAAUGCCUGUGUGUAUAGAAUAAGCGUGGACAGUAGAACCUCCCUGUGCCUUGGUGACAGCCAGUCAGAGCAGAGCCCCGAGGCCUCUCUAGACUGAGGUGAAAACUGCCACAGAAAAUCUGCCUGGGGCUGCCUUCAGUUUAGGGCAGGGACUGUGAGGUGUAAAGGGAAAGCCCUUCCCAUAGGACUGCUGGGCGCAAGCUUGGUCCUGGUUCUAGUAAUAGACAGUUAAAGGAAGAGGCUUCCAUGUCAUCCGAGGUAGAGCCUGGAAGUGGAUGCAGAUAGGAAAGGUGGAGUAGAUGGUGGGUCUAUGAUCGGCUCAUCUCCAGACCUCAGGCUGCACAGUGGAUAGUGAGGCCAAGGAGGACAAGGCCUGGGUGUUCUCACAGAGCCUCUAGAGGCGGUUGUGGAAAUGCAGGAGAUAUUUUGGACUUGGAAAAAGCUGCAGGAAGGAGGCGCCAACUGAGAAAAGCCUUGGCAGGGGCUAGGUGUAGGACCCAGCUACUUAAUACAAGAGGCCCGAGUCUCAGCAGUUUACUCUAAGGCAAUACCUGGUUCUGAGGAAGACCACAAACUGAGACUACCCUGUCACCACUCAGGAAUGGACCAUCCAAAGGAAAUUCCUAACGUUCCAACCUUCCAACUAUUGUAGAUAGGAUCACCUGCCAGCACACACCCAUCGCUUUUCCCCAGGACACCCCUAGACAAAUGCCAGCCAAUCAGGAUUAAACCCGUCAACCCGUCACCCCACACCCUGCUAAUGUAACUUCUCUGGUUUUUGCCUUUAAAUGGUGCCCUUUAGAAGGGUGGGCACCUCCUCUCGCUGCUGCGCUGCUGAAUCCCCUGCCGACUUGU